Molecule: ribosomal RNA, 261 nt
Filed under: uncultured prokaryote
Description: partial 16S ribosomal RNA
Rfam family: Bacterial small subunit ribosomal RNA
Source: RNAcentral
UACGUAGGGUGCGAGCGUUGUCCGGAAUUAUUGGGAGUAAAGAGCUUGUAGGCGGUUUGUCGCGUCUGCUGUGAAAAUCCGGGGCUCAACCCCGGACUUGCAGUGGGUACGGGCAGACUAGAGUGUGGUAGGGGAGACUGGAAUUCCUGGUGUAGCGGUGAAAUGCGCAGAUAUCAGGAGGAACACCGAUGGCGAAGGCAGGUCUCUGGGCCACUACUGACGCUGAGAAGCGAAAGCAUGGGGAGCGAACAGGAUUAGAUA